Molecule: ribosomal RNA, 199 nt
Filed under: Isochrysis galbana
Lineage: Eukaryota; Haptophyta; Isochrysidales; Isochrysidaceae
Description: partial Bacterial small subunit ribosomal RNA
Rfam family: Bacterial small subunit ribosomal RNA
Source: RNAcentral
CGUGCCAGCAGCCGCGGUAAUACGGAGGGUGCAAGCGUUGUCCGGAAUCAUUGGGUGUAAAGGGUGCGUAGGCGGAGGUCUAAGUCUGAGGUGAAAUCUUGCCGCUUAACGGUAAAAUGGCCUUGGAUACUGGAUCUCUUGAGUGUAGAAGAGGCAGGUGGAAUUCGUAGUGUAGCGGUGAAAUGCAUAGAUAUUACGA